AGGGUUGUAAAGCACUUUAAGUUGGGAAGAAAAGUUAUUGGUUAAUACCUUAUAACCGUGAUGUUACCUGCAGAAUAAGCACCGGCUAAUUCCGUGCCAGCAGCCGCGGUAAUACGGAAGGUGCAAGCGUUAAUCGGAAUUACUGGGCGUAAAGCGCGCGUAGGUGGUUUGUUAAGUUGGAUGUGAAAGCCCUGGGCUCAACCUAGGAACUGCAUCCAAAACUAAUUCACUAGAGUACGAUAGAGGGAGGUAGAAUUCACAGUGUAGCGGUGGAAUGCGUAGAUAUUGUGAAGAAUACCAAUGGCGAAGGCAGCCUCCUGGAUCUGUACUGACACUGAGGUGCGAAAGCGUGGGUAGCGAACAGGAUUAGAUACCCUGGUAGUCCACGCCGUAAACGAUGACAACUAGCUGUUGGAGACUAUGUCUUUCAGUGGCGCAGCUAACGUAUUAAGUUGUCCGCCUGGGGAGUACGGCCGCAAGGCUAAAACUCAAAUGAAUUGACGGGGACCCGCACAAGCGGUGGAGCAUGUGGUUUAAUUCGAUGCAACGCGAAAAACCUUACCUACUCUUGACAUACUUGGAAUGCUCUUGUAAUGAAGUAGUGCCUUCGGGAGCCAAGAUACAGGUGCUGCAUGGCUGUCGUCAGCUCGUGUCGUGAGAUGUUCCGUUAAGUCGGAUAACGAGCGCAACCCUUACCCUUAUUUGCCAGCGAUUCGGUCGGGAACUAUAAGGGGACUGCCGGUGAUAAACCGGAGGAAGGUGAGGACGACGUCAAGUCAUCAUGGCCCUUACGUGUAGGGCUACACACGUGCUACAAUGGGGAAUACAGACGGACGCUAAGCCGCGAGGUGGUGCUAAUCCUAGAAAAUUCUUCGUAGUCCGGAUUGGAGUCUGCAACUCGACUCCAUGAAGUCGGAAUCGCUAGUAAUCGCGAAUCAGCAUGUCGCGGUGAAUACGUUCUCGGGUCUUGUACACACCGCCCGUCACACCAUGGAAGUGGAUUGCACCAGAAGUAGAUAGUCUAACCUUCGGGAGGGCGUUUACCACGGUGUGGUUCAUGACUGGGGUGAAGUCGUAACAAGGUAGCCGUAGGGGAACCUGUGGCUG
Molecule: ribosomal RNA, 1107 nt
Filed under: metagenome
Description: bacterial SSU rRNA
Rfam family: Bacterial small subunit ribosomal RNA
Source: RNAcentral